GGGUGUAGAACUCCUUCCAUGCUGAUUGAAUCAGGCACCCCACAAUAGAAGGCAUAAGACUUUCUUAUGUAAUAACCCAUGGGGCAUCCAAUAAUCUUGGAUGUACAAGAGAGAAAGAGAGAUGGGGUGUGAAAACCAUUGGUGGCCUUGUGGCAUGAAGCCUCUUCAUGUGAAAACCAAGGGGCAUCCAAAAAUCUACAUGAAAACAUUAGGGGACAUGGACAAUUUUAGCCGCA
This 236-nucleotide long non-coding RNA is filed under the name Elaeis guineensis (African oil palm). RNAcentral's name for it is "long non-coding RNA (EGUI_LNC044525)". Lineage: Eukaryota; Viridiplantae; Streptophyta; Magnoliopsida; Arecales; Arecaceae. The record is from RNAcentral.